GUCAAGUUCAAUACACGCUUGCUUCCUCUUUUGCUCUUUCUGAUUCCGCCACCGCCCUGCUUCUCCGGCCAUCUCUGCCACUUUUUCCGACCUUUCCCACUUCCAUUGAUAUCAGUUGCACUGAGGGCUUUUCAAAACUCCGGACACCAUGAGCGAGGUAUUCGAAGGAUACGAGCGUCAAUAUUGCGAGCUUUCUGCCAAUCUUUCCAGAAAGUGCACCUCCGCCAGUGCCCUAGACGGAGAGCAGAAGAAGCAAAAG
Molecule: unclassified non-coding RNA, 259 nt
Filed under: Hevea brasiliensis (rubber tree)
Lineage: Eukaryota; Viridiplantae; Streptophyta; Magnoliopsida; Malpighiales; Euphorbiaceae
Source: RNAcentral